Molecule: transfer RNA, 73 nt
Filed under: Stegodyphus mimosarum
Lineage: Eukaryota; Metazoa; Arthropoda; Arachnida; Araneae; Eresidae
Rfam family: tRNA
About the family: Transfer RNA (tRNA) molecules are approximately 80 nucleotides in length. Their secondary structure includes four short double-helical elements and three loops (D, anti-codon, and T loops).
Source: Rfam by way of RNAcentral
GCCUUCGUGGUGCAAUGAUCAACAUACUCGGCGCUUAUUCGAGAGGUCCGAGGUUCGAGUCCUAGUGAGGGCA